This 1370-nucleotide ribosomal RNA is filed under the name metagenome. RNAcentral's name for it is "SSU rRNA". It matches the Rfam family "Eukaryotic small subunit ribosomal RNA", at positions 408 to 1801 of the family's 1831-position model. The record is from RNAcentral.
UACCACAUCCAAGGAUGGCAGCAGGCGCGCAAAUUACCCACUCCCAGCUUGGGGAGGUAGUGACGAAAAAUAACAAUGCGGGACUCUAAGAGGCCCCGUAAUUGGAAUGAGUACACCUUAAAUCGUUUAACGAGUAUCAAUUGGAGGGCAAGUCUGGUGCCAGCAGCCGCGGUAAUUCCAGCUCCAAUAGCGUAUAUUAAAGUUGCUGCAGUUAAAAAGCUCGUAGUUGGAUCUGGGGCUUGAGGUCGCUGUCUAUCGUUUCGGCGAUGACGGUGAUGCUCAGCUCUGCUUGCCGGUGACUGUUGCGGUGUUCUUCACUGAGCGCUGUAGCAGCACGGCACAUUUACUUUGAAAAAAUUAGAGUGCUCAAAGCGUGCUUGUCGCUUGAAUAAUGUUGCAUGGAAUAAUGGAAUAGGACCUCGGUUCUAUUUUGUUGGUUUUCGGAGCUUGAGGUAAUGAUUAAGAGGGACGAACGGGGGCAUUCGUAUUGCGGUGUUAGAGGUGAAAUUCUUGGAUCGCCGCAAGACGGACUACUGCGAAAGCAUUUGCCAAGAACGCUUUCAUUAAUUAAGAACGAAAGUCAGAGGUUCGAAGACGAUCAGACACCGUCCUAGUUCUGACCAUAAACGAUGCCGACCAGCGAUCCGUAGUGGUUGCUUUAUGGACCCUACGGGCAGCCUCCGGGAAACCAAAGUAUUUGGGUUCCGGGGGAAGUAUGGUUGCAAAGCUGAAACUUAAAGGAAUUGACGGAAGGGCACACCAGGAGUGGAGCCUGCGGCUUAAUUUGACCCAACACGGGAAAACUCACCCGGUCCGGACACCGUAAGGAUUGACAGACUGAUAGCUCUUUCUUGAUUCGGUGGAUGGUGGUGCAUGGCCGUUCUUAGUUGGUGGAGUGAUUUGUCUGGUUAAUUCCGAUAACGAACGAGACUCUAGCCUGCUAAGUAGUGUUGCUAUUGUUAUAUGGUUGACACUUCUUAGAGGGACAAGUGGCAUUUAGCCACGCGAAAUUGAGCAAUAACAGGUCUGUGAUGCCCUUAGAUGUCCGGGGCCGCACGCGCGCUACACUGGAGAAGUCAGCGUGUGUUAUCCAAGUCCGAAAGGACUGGGUAAUCCGUUGAACCUUCUUCGUGCUUGGGACUGUGGCUUGGAACUAUUCCACAUGAACGAGGAAUUCCUAGUAAUUGCAAGUCAUAAGCUUGCGUUGAUUACGUCCCUGCCCUUUGUACACACCGCCCGUCUCUACUACCGAUUGAAUGGUUUAGCAAGGUCCUCGGAUCGUGGCCGUGGGGGCACGCAAGUGUUUCUGCGGUUUGCGAGAAGACGACCAAACUUGAUCAUUUAGAGGAAGUAAAAGUCGUAACAAGGUU